Molecule: transfer RNA, 126 nt
Filed under: Aciduliprofundum boonei T469
Lineage: Archaea; Methanobacteriati; Thermoplasmatota
Description: tRNA-Pro
Source: RNAcentral
GGGGCCGUGGGGUAGCUUGGCAUCCUUCCGGCUUCGGGUGAAGGGGCACCAAAGUUCCCCUUUCAAAACCCUUCCUUGCCCCAACCGGAAAAGCCGGAGACUCGAGUUCAAAUCUCGGCGGCCCCA